UUUUUCGACCGAAUCGAAAUUUCUCUUUGUUUUAUGAGCUCUCAAGCAGAACUAAUUGUAAAAAGACAAAGAGAAAUUUCGUUUCGGUCGAAAAAUUCCGCCUCGUGGAAUCAGGCCUUUACACACGAGUAACAACCGAAGGGAAAUUUUCUCAAGUAACGACAACGAAAAGAUAAACUACAGUUCUCACCAAUGCAGACUUUCUGCAACAUCGUUUGGCUUACGUGCUGCAAAGAAUUAGAGCUGAAUAUUUUCUCAACAGUAUACGAAUAUUUCCACGGAUACAAAAAAAAAUAACAUUUUCACAACCAAAAGGGUAAAAUGACUCAAAUGUGCAAUACUUCCGACGGAGACCACCAGGAGAUCUCGAAUCCAGAACAACCUAUAUUAGUCAUGCACUACUUGUCUACGAGUUCUGGACACGAGAUUGAACUACAGUACCUAUAGUACCUAUAGUAUGAACCUGAAAGUUGUAGACUUCCUCUUCAUCUUUCGUCGCAUCUUUACAGCCCGUGAUGUAUUUAUGUCGUCGUAUCUCGAUGUAGGUAGGGGAGCUCCAUUAAUCCUCAAAUUGAAAUCGUUGAUAAAUCCAGCGUAAUCCGAUUUGUAGUACACCUUCAUCCAAGAAACUCCGCCUUCAAAUGUUGCAGGUCCAUCCAGUAGGGAGAUCAGCUGAUAUUGCGAAUUGACCAGUAUGGUCCGGCUUAAUAAAGUCCGGUCAAAGUAGAGAACACGAGUUAACUCGGCUUAUUACCUCUAUCGAUUCAGAACGGUUCAGUUAAUGAUAUAAGAAACUUCAAUAGUCUGUCUUAGUUCUUCCGUGUCAUGAUCCACGACCCAUUUUUCCACUGUUCACAGCUUCAUUCAUCAUUCUAUCUUCACACCAUUGAUGACGUUUUUGUUGUUCGACAUAUUCGUACCAGAUUAGGAGAGCUUGGUUGAUGAUAUGUAAAAACUUCAAUGUACAGUAAGCAGUCUCGAUUUCUUUUUGUGUCUGUCUAUGUUAUCUUUGUUAUAGCUUACGUCUGUUUGCAGCUUUGCAUCGUUGCGUCUUUAGACCAUGAAGAACAUAUAUUGUUUUAUUAAGGUAUUCCCUUUCAGUGCGCAAAUACAAAAUUCUCACAUUUUUGUUCAAAUAUUGGAAUCGAGUAUCAUCAUUUCAUGUAUCAUCACUUGCAUAAAAAUACAUCUGAGAAUUAUAUUUUUAAGUAAAUGCAAGCCAGAAAUUCAUGAAUGCUUGCCAAGUGGCGUAACAUUAUAUCAGGGGCCCCCGGUUCAAAAUUUUCGAAGGCUUCCCUAGUAGUAGUGCCAAAGGCACGAGUUGAGCGCCGCAUAUGCACGAGUUUUCUAGGGGUCCAGGGCAUGCUCACCCGGAAAAUGUUUGAAUCUAGACUUUCUGAAAUGCCAUUUCCCAGCCUUUGGGGAGAGAUUUUACAGAAUUCUGAUGGUCAGAAAACGACAUUGUGACAUCAGAGGCCCUGGUCAAUGUUUUUGCUCUACAACCUGAGCCUGGGGGCCCCCAUUGGGGUUGGGGGCCCUCGGGUUCGCCCGGUCCGAGCCCAUAGUAGUUACGCCACUGAUGCUUGCAUGUUUUUUUAUUUGAAACCGAUGCAGACAAGAUAACACUCCACUGUAAACUCCUUGCAGUAGUAAUUGUCUCACUUCUAUGUUUUUUUUUUAACGCUCAGAGAGCCAAUAUUUUGCCUAGCUAUUGUUUGAAACAUACAGAAAAUACAAAAGACGGCCCCGUAAAUCAGUUGUAUUUACAAACAGUGAAAUUCAAUACUAUAGGGUUGGAAAAACGUAGGCUGUAAUCCGAAAAUUGGAAAAUCAAGGAAGUUAAACAGGAGAGUGUACAAUGUCUAGCAUCAAAUAAUUCGUGAAUAAUUUUAGUUAUCAAAUGCCAAACAGCUAGCGAAAAUGUUCCCUUUAGGUCAAUUGUAAUAAGAUGCAACUCGUAUACCUGUACCGAGUAUAGGACUUGACCGUGAGCAUAUAGAAAGGUCUGGUAACGAGUUAACCGUGAGCAUAUAGCUAGGUCCGGCGACGACCUGACCGUGAGCAUAUAGCAAGGUCUGGUAACGAGUUGACCGUGAGCAUAUAGCUAGGUCUGAUAACGAGUUGACCAUGUGCAUAUAGCUAGGUC
This 2146-nucleotide long non-coding RNA is filed under the name Paramuricea clavata. Lineage: Eukaryota; Metazoa; Cnidaria; Anthozoa; Malacalcyonacea; Plexauridae. The record is from RNAcentral.